GUUAAAGUAGUGUAAUGGAUCAGCAGGGCAGACCGGAUAUCUGUAAGUGCGGGUUCGAGUCCCGCCUGAGGUU
This 73-nucleotide transfer RNA is filed under the name Dictyocaulus viviparus (bovine lungworm). It matches the Rfam family "tRNA". From Rfam's summary of the family: Transfer RNA (tRNA) molecules are approximately 80 nucleotides in length. The record is from Rfam by way of RNAcentral. Lineage: Eukaryota; Metazoa; Nematoda; Chromadorea; Rhabditida; Metastrongylidae.